CAGCCGCGGUAAUACGAAGGGUGCAAGCGUUACUCGGAAUUACUGGGCGUAAAGCGUGCGUAGGUGGUCGUUUAAGUCCGUUGUGAAAGCCCUGGGCUCAACCUGGGAACUGCAGUGGAUACUGGGCGACUAGAGUGUGGUAGAGGGUAGCGGAAUUCCUGGUGUAGCAGUGAAAUGCGUAGAGAUCAGGAGGAACAUCCAUGGCGAAGGCAGCUACCUGGACCAACACUGACACUGAGGCACGAAAGCGUGGGGAGCAAACAGGGUUAGAUACCCUGGUAGUCCACGCCCUAAACGAUGCGAACUGGAUGUUGGGUGCAAUUUGGCACGCAGUAUCGAAGCUAACGCGUUAAGUUCGCCGCCUGGGGAGUACGGUCGCAAGACUGAAACUCAAAGGAAUUGACGGGGGCCCGCACAAGCGGUGGAGUAUGUGGUUUAAUUCGAUGCAACGCGAAGAACCUUACCUGGCCUUGACAUGUCGAGAACUUUCCAGAGAUGGAUUGGUGCCUUCGGGAACUCGAACGCAGGUGCUGCAUGGCUGUCGCCGGCUCGUGUCGUGAGAUGUUGGGUUAAGUCCCGCAACGAGCGCAACCCUUGUCCUUAGUUUGCCAGCACGUAAUGGGUGGGGAACCUCUAAGGA
RNAcentral lists this ribosomal RNA (640 nucleotides) under uncultured Stenotrophomonas sp. Its description in RNAcentral is "bacterial SSU rRNA". It matches the Rfam family "Bacterial small subunit ribosomal RNA", at positions 512 to 1146 of the family's 1533-position model. The record is from RNAcentral. Lineage: Bacteria; Pseudomonadati; Pseudomonadota; Gammaproteobacteria; Lysobacterales; Lysobacteraceae.